CCUACGGGCGGCAGCAGUAGGGAAUAUUGCUCAAUGGGGGAAACCCUGAAGCAGCAACGCCGCGUGAAGGAUGAAGGUUUUCGGAUUGUAAACUCCUUUUGUUAGAGAAGAUAAUUACGGUAUCUCACGAAUAAGCACCGGCUAACUCCGUGCCAGCAGCCGCGGUAAUACGUAGGGUGCAAGCGUUACUCGGAAUCACUGGGCGUAAAGGGCGCGUAGGCGGGGUUGCAAGUCAGAUGUGAAAUCCUAUGGCUUAACCAUAGAACUGCAUUUGAAACUGUUAUUCUAGAGUAUGGGAGAGGUAGGUGGAAUUCUUGGUGUAGGGGUAAAAUCCGUAGAGAUCAAGAGGAAUACGCAUUGCGAAGGCGACCUGCUAGAACAUAACUGACGCUGAUGCGCGAAAGCGUGGGGAGCAAACAGGAUUAGAUACCCUUGUAGUC
This 440-nucleotide ribosomal RNA is filed under the name uncultured bacterium. Its description in RNAcentral is "partial 16S ribosomal RNA". It matches the Rfam family "Bacterial small subunit ribosomal RNA", at positions 338 to 795 of the family's 1533-position model. The record is from RNAcentral.